RNAcentral lists this ribosomal RNA (254 nucleotides) under Vibrio parahaemolyticus. RNAcentral describes it as "partial 23S ribosomal RNA". It matches the Rfam family "Bacterial large subunit ribosomal RNA", at positions 2674 to 2925 of the family's 2925-position model. The record is from RNAcentral. Lineage: Bacteria; Pseudomonadati; Pseudomonadota; Gammaproteobacteria; Vibrionales; Vibrionaceae.
GCUCCUAGUACGAGAGGACCGGAGUGGACGAACCUCUGGUGUUCGGGUUGUGUCGCCAGACGCAUUGCCCGGUAGCUAAGUUCGGAAUCGAUAACCGCUGAAAGCAUCUAAGCGGGAAGCGAGCCCUGAGAUGAGUCUUCCCUGAUACUUUAAGUAUCCUAAAGGGUUGUCGGAGACUACGACGUUGAUAGGUCAGGUGUGUAAGUGCUGUGAGGCAUUGAGCUAACUGAUACUAAUUGCCCGUGAGGCUUAAC